RNAcentral lists this long non-coding RNA (1948 nucleotides) under Lathyrus oleraceus (garden pea). RNAcentral's name for it is "Pisum sativum (pea) long non-coding RNA (PSAT_LNC011882)". Lineage: Eukaryota; Viridiplantae; Streptophyta; Magnoliopsida; Fabales; Fabaceae. The record is from RNAcentral.
UAAACAAAGAAAUUGAUCUUCUCCACUUGCAUCUCCGCCGUGCUGAAGCUCACCAUUGGCGGUGGCGGAGCACCAAAUAUCAAAACCAAUUAUACCAAACCAAUCCAUUUUAUGAGCUCUAGCUAAAUCAAAAAUCAAUUUCUACCAAUUCUUCAUAACAACUCUGAAUCAAGUAGAAAAUCCCUAAGAGCCCUAACCAAAGAAUAAAAAAUUAAACUUUUAUAUGGAGGAAUCAAAGUCCCUGCGGUUAUAGCUUUGAUUCCUCGGCCUCUCCCCUACAUGGUGGUAACUAGAAAAAAGCUUAAAUAUGAAUAAAUAGCACAUACCUGUCGAAGAGAUAAAGCUUCUGAGCUCGGGGUAAAGGUCUUGAUGAAGCAUCUUUCAGGUACGAAUCUUUAAUCUAAACUUCUUCUUCUUCUUCUGCUUCACUCUUUUUCUUUCUUCUUCUUCCUUCUGAUAUACUCUAGGUCUUCUUCUUCUUCCGCAUGUGUGUUGUGAGAGUGAAGGAGUGAAUUGAGAUAUUCGUAAUGAAUGGAGUGUUUCAGAGAUGUGUCAUUGAGAGAGAGUUGAGAGGGUUUGAGAAUAAGAGUUUUCUGAGAAACGAGAAGUGAAUGCAAAUUGAAGAGUGAAUAAUGAUUUAUAGGUGAGGGAGAGAGUUAACAAAGUUAUCUCUGUUAAAUUGAUCAAGGUGGAAGUUGGUUAGAAGUAAAUUCACUAUGUUAGUUAUGAGGAAUUAUGAUUUCUGUUAGAGGACAUUUCAUUUAAUUCCAUUUUUGAAGUUAGUUAAUUAGUUAGGUUUUAAAUUCAGUUAGUUAAUCAAUUAGUGAUCUAGUGUGUGAUUGGCUAAUGUAGGUAAUAUGUUGAAUUUAAGUUAUAUGAUGUGUUAAUGGAUCGAAGAGGUAACCUGUUGAACAAGUUUUGUUUCAAAUGCAAUAUUCUAGCUAUUUUGGAAAAUUGCAGCUUGUGGUUAAUUUUGCAAGUUACGGGUUUUAGUUGACUUACUGCAGGUUGUGCUAGGUUGCAGGUUGGUUUUAGUUGUUACUUAAUGAAAGGAAAAAUGUGAGGUAAACCUGUUAGACUAGUUUUGGUUUAUCAUUGUUGCAAACAAUUUGUUAAGCAUGGUUAUGGUUAGGAUUAUUACAACUCAGUUUGAAUUGGUGAAUUCAAUUUUUGUUGGGACAUACUUGAUAUAAUGUUAGGACUAUUAUGAGAUACUUGUGUUUAGUUGUUAGUAACUAGGUUAGGUAUCAAUGGGAACUUGUAAAAAAUGGAUGUAACAAUGGUUUUGGGCCAAUGCUUUCAAGUUGAUAUUAGUUGGUACAACCUAUUGAAUGAAUGUGUUGCUAACUACUAGGUUGGACUUUGCAUUUCUUACUUGUUAGCAUGUCAACUGCAUAAGGGAUCAAAGUGAAUUGUCAUGUGUAGCUGCAGCAGGGCAUGCCAUGGCUAAAAUUUACAUGCUUCCAUUAUUGGCAUUGAGUUAUAGCAUGCCAUGUAGUAUUUGGAUGUAUGCUUGCUUAUUGCAAUGUUGCAUGAUGUGUGUAUUAACAAAUGUGCCAUAUGCGUGUUUGCAUAUUCCUUCAAUAAUAUAUGUAUGCUAAAUGAUGCAAAGUUGUUUUAGGAUUUGGCAUGACAUGGCAAGAGACUUUGAUGACAAAACAAGGCUUGGUGCAAAAUGAGGUUUUCUUGUUCAUGAAGAAACUUGGUCAUAGAAUCAAAUGGAAAGAUGUAAGAAUAAAGACACAAUGGGGAAUUAGGGUUAGGAAUGUAGAAGUUUAGGUCAGUUGACUUUGGUCAACUAGUUUCCUGAAAAGUCAAUAGUUGACCAAAAGUCAAUUGUAGGUCAAACUUGAUUUUUUUGUAAUUUUGUAUGGAACUUUGUAAAUUGAUACUUGUAUGGUCAAAUUAACAAAUUUGAAUGGAAAUGGUCUUUUAUGAUUCAAAGAAA